Molecule: ribosomal RNA, 541 nt
Filed under: uncultured Gallionellaceae bacterium
Lineage: Bacteria; Pseudomonadati; Pseudomonadota; Betaproteobacteria; Nitrosomonadales; Gallionellaceae
Description: bacterial SSU rRNA
Rfam family: Bacterial small subunit ribosomal RNA
Source: RNAcentral
AAUGGGGGAUAACGUAGCGAAAGUUACGCUAAUACCGCAUAUGCCCUGAGGGGGAAAGUGGGGGAUCGCAAGACCUCACGUUUUCGGAGCGGCCGAUAUCAGAUUAGCUAGUUGGUGGGGUAAAGGCCCACCAAGGCGACGAUCUGUAGCUGGUCUGAGAGGACGACCAGCCACACUGGGACUGAGACACGGCCCAGACUCCUACGGGAGGCAGCAGUGGGGAAUUUUGGACAAUGGGGGCAACCCUGAUCCAGCCAUGCCGCGUGAGUGAAGAAGGCCUUCGGGUUGUAAAGCUCUUUCGGACAGAAAGAAAUCGCACGGGCCAAUACCCCGUGUGGAUGACGGUACUGUAAGAAGAAGCACCGGCUAACUACGUGCCAGCAGCCGCGGUAAUACGUAGGGUGCGAGCGUUAAUCGGAAUUACUGGGCGUAAAGCGUGCGCAGGCGGUUUAUUAAGACAGAUGUGAAAUCCCCGGGCUUAACCUGGGAACUGCAUUUGUGACUGGUAGGCUAGAGUGUAGCAGAGGGGGGUAGAAUUCCA